ACGAGACACACCCAUAUGCUCUGC
Molecule: non-coding RNA, 24 nt
Filed under: Arabidopsis thaliana (thale cress)
Lineage: Eukaryota; Viridiplantae; Streptophyta; Magnoliopsida; Brassicales; Brassicaceae
Source: RNAcentral